AUUUGAAUAGUUUAAUUAAAAUGUUGGUUUGUGAGAUCAAAGAUGUAUAUAAUAUAUUUUGAAUA
RNAcentral lists this transfer RNA (65 nucleotides) under Stenocladius sp. 2 XYG-2023a. RNAcentral's name for it is "tRNA-His". Lineage: Eukaryota; Metazoa; Arthropoda; Insecta; Coleoptera; Lampyridae. The record is from RNAcentral.